Molecule: long non-coding RNA, 966 nt
Organism: Sorghum bicolor (sorghum)
Lineage: Eukaryota; Viridiplantae; Streptophyta; Magnoliopsida; Poales; Poaceae
Exons: 4
Source: RefSeq, a predicted model, not a curated record
CGUCGCCAUCGACCCGCUGUGACCCUACCCUAGCCGCUCCCGAAGCUUCCCGUCCUUCUCCUUGCGGCGGUCGCGGGCGGCGCGGCGAGUCAGCGGCCACCUGCCUCCAUCUCCUACUUGAGCCUCCCAGCCUCAUCGUAGUUGUCCGCCUCCUCCCCCUCCGCACCGUAGAUCUUUUUCCUCGGCGCUCGGGAUGAUCAAUCAAUCCACCUUCACUCCACCGUGCGGGAGGAAGCUAAUGUGGAGUUUCUGUUUUAGAUAGAUUUCUUUUCUUUUGAGCCUUUCCUAUUUCCCGUUCCCUCGUGACCGUGAGAAGAGAGGCGACUAGGCGAGGCCAUGGCCUCCGGGCUCCGGCACCUGCUACGGCCAGCUGCAACCCCCAGGAUCCUCAACCCAGCAUUACGGCUACCACUUCUCUACAGCGACAGGUCAACAGCCAGAAUCAUUUGCUGGCGUCAAAACUUACACCCUAGCGCAACCUGUGCACCCAGCAACUGCUGGCCCUGUCGUCCUUCGAACACAACCCAGGUUCAGCUGGUACCAAGCAUUCCUCGCUGCAGGGCUCUUGCUUGGUUUUGGUGCUAGCGAUGCUGUCUUUAUCAAGAACUGUUCCUUUCUACGCUCAAGUCUUGGAUACGCAAUGUUGUAGCGGAAGGUGAUGGCACUGAAGGCAACCAACUUAAGGCCAGGAUAGAUGAGGAAACAGCCGAGGCUGUAAAGGCCUCUGCUUCGGCUGUUUAUGCUAUUGCCAAAACAAACCAACAGCUGCUUUCAAAGGAUGAAGUUUUCACUCUACCUGUUCAUGAUUUGCUGCUUCUUCUUUGCAAAUAGUUUUACUCACUCCAAUAAUAUUGAUUUGUUCUUGUUGGCAGCAAAAAAUGUUUUUUUAAGCCUGUACGAGUUAAGGUAGUAGUGUGGCUGAAAUAUAAUCUUAAGAUCAAUUAAGAAUCAUGACAUAAUAAUUAA